GGGGGCGUGGUGUUAAUGGUAGCAUGACGGUCUCCAAAACCGUUGGUUCGGGUUCAAAUCCUGACGCCCCUG
The sequence is a transfer RNA, 72 nucleotides long. It matches the Rfam family "tRNA". Rfam says of the family: Transfer RNA (tRNA) molecules are approximately 80 nucleotides in length. Their secondary structure includes four short double-helical elements and three loops (D, anti-codon, and T loops).